Molecule: ribosomal RNA, 274 nt
Filed under: uncultured bacterium
Lineage: Bacteria
Description: partial 16S ribosomal RNA
Rfam family: Bacterial small subunit ribosomal RNA
Source: RNAcentral
AUACGGAGGGUGCAAGCGUUAUUCGGAAUCACUGGGCGUAAAGGACGCGUAGGCGGGUUGGCAAGUCAGAUGUGAAAUCCUACAGCUUAACUGUAGAACUGCAUUUGAAACUGCUAACCUAGAGUAUGGGAGGGGGAGAUGGAAUUAGUGGUGUAGGGGUAAAAUCCGUAGAUAUCACUAGGAAUACCGAAAGCGAAGGCGAUCUCCUGGAACAUAACUGACGCUAAGGCGUGAAAGCGUGGGGAGCGAACAGGAUUAGAAACCCCAGUAGUCC